UUUCCUAGGUCCUUAGAGAUGAUUGUCGGAUUGGAAAGCAACAGUAAGAUAUUCACAGUUUAUGUCCAUGGAUUACUGGAACUACAGGCUGGACAGUACACAUCAAUAUUUGUGGACAAUGCAGCAGGGGCUUCCAUUACAAUACAAAGUGGCUCCGAUUUCAUGGGCAUGCUUCUGGGUGUAUAGCCCCCACCCUGUCCCUCUCCCACCCCACACACGCACCCACUCUGUAAAUAACCAGACUAAUGGCACUUGAGGUCUCCCUCAGACACAAAAGUCAUCCGCACAGCUCGAGAAUGAGUGUGGAAGGGACAAACUGAGCAUCGCUUUGCUGAGUUCUUCACACCUCGGUGGUCAUGGUCGGGGAUGCCUGAGAAAACGUGUUUUUCUUUCUGCUCUGGAUGGAUCCGUUUCAGAAUGGCAGGGGUCAUGCUUCGAUUCACUUGGGGUGCCUUUCUUGGCUCGCCAUCUCUCUCCCAGAGAUCACUGGCACGCAUUUUCAUCUCAGUUCUGUUUUAAGAUAAGACGGGCACAGAAGACCUGAGACUACAAAAGCUAUGUCUUAAUAUCUAAUCCAAUCUGCGAGAUCACAAGACUCAUCACCAUCAUCUAUGGCCCAGGUGCUUAGAGGAAAAUAUUUAUUUUACGUGUCAUCUAUGAGCACACAUUUGGUUGUAUAUGUUACUUGCGCUAUCGGCUUAUAAGCUUAUUAAAAAAUGUGUAAUUCAGCAGCGUGCUAUAGACGGUCUCUUCACUGACAUUUCUGGCAAAUCAAAUAAUUUCUUUUUUUUUUUAAUAUGCUUUGCUUUUAUUACACACUGACUGGAUAAGCCUUGGUCAAUGACUGGAUGAGAAAUGGAAUUGGUUAGAUUUGAAAUGGAUUUCUGCUUUAUUAAAGAAGUGUAUUCAAGUAGUACAUCUGUUAAUAGAGUACUAUUACACUACUUUCAUAGUAUUGGCUGUUGUUUUGACUAAACAGUCAAAAUGUCACUAAAAUGAUCCCAUGUGAAAAACUGUUACUUACUAGAAGAAAGACUUAUUGAGUCUGGUACAUAACUCAGAAUACAAGCCCAUCUAUUCUGAGACUUCUAGCUCCGAGAGGUUGUUGGCCUCCAUUUGGAGCUCCAAAUCAAACAAAACAAAAAAAUCCUAUACAAUAUGAUGACAGCAGCUGGAUGGGGUUAUUUAUUUGAUGGGUUGUCCCAAACCAUCUGUCAUUAGUCUCUUUUCCGAGUUAAAAAUCGAAC
Molecule: non-coding RNA, 1247 nt
Organism: Lepisosteus oculatus (spotted gar)
Lineage: Eukaryota; Metazoa; Chordata; Actinopteri; Semionotiformes; Lepisosteidae
Source: RefSeq, a predicted model, not a curated record